This 840-nucleotide ribosomal RNA is filed under the name Triticum aestivum (bread wheat). Its description in RNAcentral is "partial small subunit ribosomal RNA". Lineage: Eukaryota; Viridiplantae; Streptophyta; Magnoliopsida; Poales; Poaceae. The record is from RNAcentral.
AUGAAUGAUUUUGUCUCUUGGCACUGCAAUAAGAACGAUAUUUUUUCUGUACGGUCAGCUUAGCAUGAAGAGUGGGAACACCAACAUGGACGAAAGUUGAGAAUGACAAACUCAGUUCAAUCCUAAAGUACUAGUCCUAUUUGGAGUACCAUUUGGAAAUUAAGUGUACCAGCCAAGAUAAAGAUUCAUGUGUGGAGAGCCUUACUUGGAGCCAUCCCUUGUCUGGGGUUUCUAGCAAAUAGACAUAUGAUCACGAGUUUGCAAUGUCCUAUGUGCAGUAUCGAUUGUGAGAGUAUUAAACAUGCCCUAUUCUUAUGCCCAUGAGUACAAGAUGUGUGGCGCAUCCUGGGUCUAGGACAAUUGGUGGCUGAGGUAUGUACUUCACAACGUGAGGGAGGAUCAGUACUAGCUGACAUGUUUCUGUCCAAGAGCAGACUACAGGCAACGGUGGCGGGAGUCCAACACAAUGCAUUGCCGGCAACCACUGUAUGGAGAGCUAGAAAUAAGAACACAAAGAUCAGGAGGCACGGCUGGGAGAGGCCACCUAAGGGAAUUAUAAAAUUGAACGUCGACGCGGGAUUUGAGAUGGACAACGGCUCUGGGAGUACAUGAGCUAUCCUGCGAGAUGACAUGGGAAAUUUUAUAGCUGCUUCGUGCGGGGACAUUCCCUUUGUGGAGGAUGCGGCGACGGCAGAAGCAAGGGCUCUGAGAAAUGGGUUGUUACUUGCUAAUGAUACGGGUUGCAACAAACUUUAUGUCGAAGCGGACUGCAUGGAGGUGAUUGAUGUUAUGCAAAACGGCGGGAACUUCCUCGAACAUGCGGCGGCAAUCUAUGAAUAA